Molecule: transfer RNA, 92 nt
Filed under: bacterium
Lineage: Bacteria
Description: tRNA-Ser
Rfam family: tRNA
About the family: Transfer RNA (tRNA) molecules are approximately 80 nucleotides in length. Their secondary structure includes four short double-helical elements and three loops (D, anti-codon, and T loops). Further hydrogen bonds mediate the characteristic L-shaped molecular structure. tRNAs have two regions of fundamental functional importance: the anti-codon, which is responsible for specific mRNA codon recognition, and the 3' end, to which the tRNAs corresponding amino acid is attached (by aminoacyl-tRNA synthetases). tRNAs cope with the degeneracy of the genetic code in two manners: having more than one tRNA (with a specific anti-codon) for a particular amino acid; and 'wobble' base-pairing, i.e. permitting non-standard base-pairing at the 3rd anti-codon position.
Source: RNAcentral
GGAGACGUGGCCGAGCGGCUGAAGGCGGCGGUUUGCUAAACCGUUAUAGGUGUUACAACCUAUCGGAGGUUCGAAUCCUCUCGUCUCCGCCA